GACGAACGCUGGCGGCGUGCUUAACACAUGCAAGUCGCACGGGACUGGGGGCAACUCCAGUUCAGUGGCGGACGGGUGCGUAACACGUAAGUAACAUGUCCAAGGGUGGGGGAUAGCCGGCCCAACGGCCGGGUAAUACCGCAUGCAGUCACGGGGGACAUCCUCGGUGACGAAAGCCGGGGCAACCUGGCGCCCAUGGAGUGGUCUUG
RNAcentral lists this ribosomal RNA (209 nucleotides) under uncultured bacterium. RNAcentral's name for it is "partial 16S ribosomal RNA". It matches the Rfam family "Bacterial small subunit ribosomal RNA", at positions 28 to 233 of the family's 1533-position model. The record is from RNAcentral.